RNAcentral lists this ribosomal RNA (440 nucleotides) under uncultured bacterium. Its description in RNAcentral is "partial 16S ribosomal RNA". It matches the Rfam family "Bacterial small subunit ribosomal RNA", at positions 338 to 795 of the family's 1533-position model. The record is from RNAcentral.
CCUACGGUGGGCUGCAGUGGGGGAUAUUGCACAAUGGGGGAAACCCUGAUGCAGCAACGCCGCGUGAGUGAUGAAGUCUUUCGGUAUGUAAAGCUCUAUCAGCAGGGAAGAGAAUGACGGUACCUGACUAAUACGCCCCGGCUAACUACGUGCCAGCAGCCGCGGUACUACGUAGGGGGCGAGCGUUAUCCGGAUUUGCUGGGUGUAAAGGGAGCGUAGACGGGUGGUCAAGUCUGAAGUGAAAGCCGGGGGCUUAACCCCGGAACGGCUUUGGAAACUGAGCAGCUAGAGUGCGGGAGAGGUAAGCGGAAUUCCUAGUGUAGCGGUGAAAUGCGUAGAUAUUAGGAGGAACACCAGUGGCGAAGGCGGCUUACUGGACAGUAACUGACGUUGAGGCUCGAAAGCGUGGGGAGCAAACAGGAUUAGAUACCCGUGUAGUC